AGAGUUUGAUCCUGGCUCAGGAUGAACGCUAGCGGGAGGCCUAACACAUGCAAGUCGAACGGGAUUGAGAGCUUGCUCUCAUGAGAGUGGCGCACGGGUGAGUAACGCGUAUGCAACCUACCUAUAACUGAGGGAUAGCCCAUAGAAAUGUGGAUUAAUACCUCAUAGUUCUUUUGUUCCGCAUGGGAUGAAAGAUAAAGCUCCGGCGGUUAUAGAUGGGCAUGCGUGACAUUAGCUAGUUGGUAAGGUAACGGCUUACCAAGGCUACGAUGUCUAGGGGUUCUGAGAGGAUGAUCCCCCACACUGGUACUGAGACACGGACCAGACUCCUACGGGAGGCAGCAGUGAGGAAUAUUGGUCAAUGGGCGCAAGCCUGAACCAGCCAUCCCGCGUGCAGGAUGAAGGCCCUAUGGGUC
RNAcentral lists this ribosomal RNA (416 nucleotides) under uncultured bacterium. RNAcentral's name for it is "bacterial SSU rRNA". It matches the Rfam family "Bacterial small subunit ribosomal RNA", at positions 8 to 424 of the family's 1533-position model. The record is from RNAcentral.